GCAAGCGGUAGUGUGGUGGAGCACCUUAGUUGCCAUCCUCCGAAGUUUGGUAGAAUUAUGCAAUAAAUUGCAAGAACUUCUUUGACUCAAUUUUUCCCGAAGUAACGUGGAAGAAACGUAAAUCGCCGAAAGAUAUGGAGACAAACGUUGCGGCCCCCGAGAUUUGUUGGCCCC
Aricia agestis (brown argus) is the source of this 174-nucleotide long non-coding RNA. RefSeq lists it as uncharacterized. NCBI's taxonomy places the organism in Eukaryota, Metazoa, Arthropoda, Insecta, Lepidoptera, Lycaenidae. The record is from RefSeq and is a predicted model, not a curated record. The transcript is spliced from 3 exons.